CAGUCGAGGGGUAUAGUAGCAAUACUAGAGACCGGCGCACGGGUGCGUAACGCGUAUGCAAUCUACCUUUUACAGAGGGAUAGCCCAGAGAAAUUUGGAUUAAUACCUCAUAGUAUAACGAGUUCGCAUGAAUUUGUUAUUAAAGUCACAACGGUAAAAGAUGAGCAUGCGUCCCAUUAGCCAGUUGGUAAGGUAACGGCUUACCAAGGCUACGAUGGGUAGGGGUCCUGAGAGGGAGAUCCCCCACACUGGUACUGAGACACGGACCAGACUCCUACGGGAGGCAGCAGUGAGGAAUAUUGGUCAAUGGGCGCAAGCCUGAACCAGCCAUGCCGCGUGCAGGAUGACGGGCCUAUGGAUUGUAAACUGCUUUUGCACAGGAAGAAACACUACCUCGUGAGGUAGCUUGACGGUACUGUGAGAAUAAGGAUCGGCUAACUCCGUGCCAGCAGCCGCGGUAAUACGGAGGAUCCAAGCGUUAUCCGGAAUCAUUGGGUUUAAAGGGUCCGUAGGCGGUCUAAUAAGUCAGUGGUGAAAGCCCUACGCUCAACGUAGGAACGGCCAUUGAUACUGUUAGACUUGAAUUACUUGGAAGUAACUAGAAUAUGUAGUGUAGCGGUGAAA
RNAcentral lists this ribosomal RNA (624 nucleotides) under uncultured bacterium. RNAcentral's name for it is "bacterial SSU rRNA". It matches the Rfam family "Bacterial small subunit ribosomal RNA", at positions 59 to 686 of the family's 1533-position model. The record is from RNAcentral.